RNAcentral lists this ribosomal RNA (2682 nucleotides) under synthetic metagenome. Its description in RNAcentral is "bacterial LSU rRNA". It matches the Rfam family "Bacterial large subunit ribosomal RNA". The record is from RNAcentral.
UAGGAAAAGAAAUCAAUUGAGAUUCCCUCAGUAGCGGCGAGCGAACGGGGAUCAGCCCAUUAAGUUAUGUGUGUUUUAGUGGAACGCUCUGGGAAGUGCGAACGUAGAGGGUGAUAUUCCCGUACACGAAAGGGCACACAUAAUGAUGACGAGUAGGGCGAGGCACGUGAAACCUUGUCUGAAUAUGGGGGGACCAUCCUCCAAGGCUAAAUACUCCUGACUGACCGAUAGUGAACCAGUACCGUGAGGGAAAGGCGAAAAGAACCCCUGUGAGGGGAGUGAAAUAGAUCCUGAAACCGCAUGCAUACAAGCAGUGGGAGCACCUUCGUGGUGUGACUGCGUACCUUUUGUAUAAUGGGUCAGCGACUUAUAUUCAGUAGCGAGGUUAACCGUAUAGGGGAGCCGUAGAGAAAUCGAGUCUUAAUAGGGCGUUUAGUUGCUGGGUAUAGACCCGAAACCAGGCGAUCUAUCCAUGAGCAGGUUGAAGGUUGGGUAACACUAACUGGAGGACCGAACCCACUGUCGUUGAAAAGCCAGGGGAUGACUUGUGGAUAGGGGUGAAAGGCUAAUCAAGCCUGGUGAUAGCUGGUUCUCCCCGAAAGCUAUUUAGGUAGCGCCUCGGACGAAUACCAUAGGGGGUAGAGCACUGUUUCGGCUAGGGGGUCAUCCCGACUUACCAAACCGAUGCAAACUCCGAAUACCUAUGAGUACUAUCCGGGAGACAGACUGCGGGUGCUAACGUCCGUAGUCAAGAGGAAAACAAUCCAGACCGCCAGCUAAGGCCCCAAAAUCAUAGUUAAGUGGGAAACGAUGUGGGAAGGCAUAGACAGCUAGGAGGUUGGCUUAGAAGCAGCCACCCUUUAAAGAAAGCGUAAUAGCUCACUAGUCGAGUCGGCCUGCGCGGAAGAUGUAACGGGGCUAAAACUAUGUGCCGAAGCUGCGGAUGUAUACUUUGUAUACGUGGUAGGGGAGCGUUCUGUAAGCCGAUGAAGGUGUGUUGAGAAGCAUGCUGGAGGUAUCAGAAGUGCGAAUGCUGACGUGAGUAACGACAAAACGGGUGAAAAACCCGUUCGCCGAAAGACCAAGGGUUCCAGUCCAACGUUAAUCGGGGCUGGGUGAGUCGACCCCUAAGGCGAGGCCGAAAGGCGUAGUCGAUGGGAAAAUGGUUAAUAUUCCAUUACUUCUGUGUAAUGCGAUGAGAGGACGGAGAAGGCUAAAUCAGCCUGGCGUUGGUUGUCCAGGUGAAAGGAUGUAGGCAUGUAUCUUAGGCAAAUCCGGGGUACUCUAUGCUGAGAUCUGAUAGCAAGCUGUACUUGUACAGCGAAGUGGUUGAUGCCAUGCUUCCAGGAAAAGUCUCUAAGCUUCAGUUACACAGGAAUCGUACCCGAAACCGACACAGGUGGUCAGGUCGAGUAGACCAAGGCGCUUGAGAGAACUCUGCUGAAGGAACUAGGCAAAAUGGUACCGUAACUUCGGGAGAAGGUACGCUGUUGUUGGUGAUGGAACUCGCUUCCUGAGCUGACGACAGCCGCAGAAACCAGGCCGCUGCAACUGUUUAUUAAAAACAUAGCACUCUGCAAACACGAAAGUGGACGUAUAGGGUGUGAUGCCUGCCCGGUGCUGGAAGGUUAAUUGAUGGGGUUAGCGUAAGCGAAGCUCUUGAUCGAAGCCCCAGUAAACGGCGGCCGUAACUAUAACGGUCCUAAGGUAGCGAAAUUCCUUGUCGGGUAAGUUCCGACCUGCACGAAUGGCAUAAUGAUGGCGGCGCUGUCUCCAGCAGAGGCUCAGUGAAAUCGAAAUCGCUGUGAAGAUGCAGUGUACCCGCGGCUAGACGGAAAGACCCCGUGAACCUUUACUGCAGCUUGACACUGAACUUUGACCUUACUUGUGUAGGAUAGGUGGGAGGCUUUGAAGCUGGAACGCUAGUUCCAGUGGAGCCGUCCUUGAAAUACCACCCUGGUAAUGUUGAGGUUCUAACUCUGUCCCGUGAUCCGGGACGAGGACCGUGUCUGGUGGGUAGUUUGACUGGGGCGGUCUCCUCCUAAAGAGUAACGGAGGAGUACGAAGGUGCGCUCAGCGUGGUCGGAAAUCACGCGUAGAGUAUAAAGGCAAAAGCGCGCUUAACUGCGAGACCCACAAGUCGAGCAGGUACGAAAGUAGGUCUUAGUGAUCCGGUGGUUCUGUAUGGAAGGGCCAUCGCUCAACGGAUAAAAGGUACUCUGGGGAUAACAGGCUGAUACCGCCCAAGAGUUCAUAUCGACGGCGGUGUUUGGCACCUCGAUGUCGGCUCAUCUCAUCCUGGGGCUGAAGCAGGUCCCAAGGGUAUGGCUGUUCGCCAUUUAAAGAGGUACGCGAGCUGGGUUUAGAACGUCGUGAGACAGUUCGGUCCCUAUCUACCGUGGGCGCUGGAAAUUUGAGAGGAUCUGCUCCUAGUACGAGAGGACCAGAGUGGACGAACCUCUGGUGUACCGGUUGUGACGCCAGUCGCAUCGCCGGGUAGCUAUGUUCGGAAGGGAUAACCGCUGAAAGCAUCUAAGCGGGAAGCCUACCUCAAGAUAAGAUUUCCCUAGGACUUUAUGUCCUCUAAAGAGCCGUUCGAGACUAGGACGUUGAUAGGUUGGAUGUGGAAGCAUAGUGAUAUGUGAAGCUGACCAAUACUAAUUGCUCGUGAGGCUUGACUAU